RNA transcript from Beta vulgaris subsp. vulgaris (sugar beet), 1736 nucleotides. It is a transcript of the gene named pyridoxal 5'-phosphate synthase-like subunit PDX1.2, with no coding region annotated. The transcript has 4 exons. NCBI's taxonomy places the organism in Eukaryota, Viridiplantae, Streptophyta, Magnoliopsida, Caryophyllales, Amaranthaceae. The record is from RefSeq and is a predicted model, not a curated record.
CUUGAUUAAGCCAUGUAGUUUCCUCAUCUUUCUAAAUUGAUACAUUCAAAUCUCACCCACUCAACCCUCAUUUCCUAAGAACUUUCCGGAACAUUUGAGAUUCACCUGUCACAUUCUCCACUCUCACAAGUCACAUCAUCUCCAUCUUCCUUUUCCUUGAUUCCCUCCAUUUCCUUAAAUCCCCCAAAACCCUCCUUCAAACCUUCACCCAUCAUCAAAAUUCCUUCUUUUCUCUCGCGCAUUUCAUCAAACACUUCAUCUUCAACCUCUCAAACUUCCUCGUCAAUGGCGGACGACGGCGUUGUAGUACUCUACGACGGAACCAUCAUCACCACCGAUCAGCCCACAAACCCUAACCCUAACCCGUAUUCAAUCAAAGUCGGGUUAACCCAGAUUCUCCGUGGUGGUGCAAUCGUCGAAAUAUCCGACCCCACACAAGCCAAAAUCGCCGAAAAUGCCGGCGCAUGUUGCAUUUCUAUCGUCGGAGAUCACGGAAGAAUGUCAAACCCAUCUCUAAUCAAACAAAUAAAACGCACCGUUUCGAUACCCGUAAUCGGAAAAUCUCGGGUCGGCCAUUUCGUCGAAGCCCAGAUCAUCGAAUCAUCAGGAUCCGACUACAUUGACGAAAACGAGGUUUUAUUGAUUGCUGACGAGGACAAUUUCAUCAACAAACACAAUUUUAGGGUUCCAUUUAUUUGUGGGACCCGAAAUUUGGGCGGAGCUUUGAGGAGGAUCCGAGAAGGUGCUGCAAUGAUUCGGACUCAAGGGGAUUUAUCUGGGUCGGGUAAUAUUGCUGAAACAGUUGGUAAUGUUAGGAAGAUAAUGGGUCAUGUGAGAAUGUUGAAUAACAUGGAUGAUGAUGAAGUUUUUACCUUUGCUAAGAAUAUUGGGGCUCCUUAUGAUUUAGUUGCACAAACUAAACAAAUGGGCCGGCUUCCGGUUGUUCAUUUCGCUUCCGGUGGGAUUGUUACUCCUGCUGAUGCUGCAUUGAUGAUGCAAUUGGGUUGUGAUGGUGUUUUUAUUGGGGUUGAGGUUUUUGAUGGCGUUUCGGACCCGUUUAAGCGGGUUCGGGCUAUUGUGGAGGCUGUGAGGAAUUAUAAUGAUCCGGCUGUGUUGGUGGAUGUGUGUACCGGGUUUAGUGAUGCAAUGGCGAGGUUGAAUGUUGAUGAUGAUAACAGGGUGGUUGAAGUUUGAUGGAAUUGAACUAAUGGGAGGAUUAGCCUUGCAGUGGAGAGGGAUGCACUCACAGCAUCGCUUUCUUAUAUGGUGUAUGGUUGUUCUCAAAAUACACCAAUAAUCAUAUCGUGUAAGGAUAUGAUAAAUUGAUAAAUCGGGUUGGGUUCAGAGCCGGCAAGAGUUGCCUCUCAGCUUAUACACAAUCACCAAUUCACCAUUUUCUGUAAUUUGUUGGGCCAAAAACUAGGAAAAUGACAGUGUAUCAACGUUGGAUUCUGUACAAAUAUGAUGAGUAUCUCCUACUAAAGUAAACAAGUAACUCAGUAUAAAGUAUAAAUCAAUAUACUCUUAGGACUAUAUUUGCGUAAACUUUUUUUUUUUUUUUAAAGGUAAGAUGAAGUCCCUUGCAAGGAAGGGGGGAAAUUAGGGAUCUCUUUUUGCAAGGGGUGAGACUUGAUCCUUUGACUUAUGGGAUCGGAUGUGAUGUCAAUAUCACUAGGCUAUCACCUGCUGUGCGUAAACUGCUCAAAAUGGAAUCUAAAUUGAUAAAUUACUUGAAA